This 261-nucleotide ribosomal RNA is filed under the name uncultured bacterium. RNAcentral's name for it is "partial 16S ribosomal RNA". It matches the Rfam family "Bacterial small subunit ribosomal RNA", at positions 95 to 354 of the family's 1533-position model. The record is from RNAcentral.
CCGGCGCACGGGUGAGUAACACGUAUGCAACCUGCCUGCCACAGCCGGAUAAUCGGGAGAAAUUCCGUCUAAUACGGCAUAAUGCAUCGACGGGACAUCCUGUUGGUGCCAAAGGUUAAUUCCGGUGGCGGAUGGGCAUGCGUCGCAUUAGUUAGUUGGCGGUGUAACGGCCCACCAAGCCGACGAUGCGUAGGGGUUCUGAGAGGAAGGUCCCCCACAUUGGAACUGAGACACGGUCCAAACUCCUACGGAAGGCAGCAG